UGAGUAUAGUUGAGGUAGCUGGAAUGAGUAGUGUAGCGGUGAAAUGCAUAGAUAUUACUCAGAACACCGAUUGCGAAGGCAGGUUACCAAGUUAUAACUGACGCUGAGGGACGAAAGCGUGGGGAGCGAACAGGAUUAGAUACCCUGGUAGUCCACGCCGUAAACGAUGCUAACUCGUUUUUGGGCUUUAUGGUUCAGAGACUAAGCGAAAGUGAUAAGUUAGCCACCUGGGGAGUACGACCGCAAGGUUGAAACUCAAAGGAAUUGACGGGGGCCCGCACAAGCGGUGGAUCAUGUGGUUUAAUUCGAUGAUACGCGAGGAACCUUACCAAGGCUUAAAUGGGAAUUGACAGCUGUAGAAAUACGGUUUUCUUCGGACAAUUUUCAAGGUGCUGCAUGGUUGUCGUCAGCUCGUGCCGUGAGGUGUUAGGUUAAGUCCUGCAACGAGCGCAACCCCUGUCACUAGUUGCCAUCAUUAAGUUGGGGACUCUAGUGAGACUGCCUACGCAAGUAGAGAGGAAGGUGGGGAUGACGUCAAAUCAUCACGGCCCUUACGCCUUGGGCCACACACGUGAUACAAUGGCCG
Molecule: ribosomal RNA, 586 nt
Filed under: Riemerella anatipestifer
Lineage: Bacteria; Pseudomonadati; Bacteroidota; Flavobacteriia; Flavobacteriales; Weeksellaceae
Description: bacterial SSU rRNA
Rfam family: Bacterial small subunit ribosomal RNA
Source: RNAcentral